Molecule: ribosomal RNA, 253 nt
Filed under: uncultured bacterium
Lineage: Bacteria
Description: partial 16S ribosomal RNA
Rfam family: Bacterial small subunit ribosomal RNA
Source: RNAcentral
UACGAAGGGGGCUAGCGUUGCUCGGAAUCACUGGGCGUAAAGCGCACGUAGGCGGAUCUUUAAGUCAGGGGUGAAAUCCCAAGGCUCAACCUUGGAACUGCCUUUGAUACUGGGGAUCUCGAGUCCGGAAGAGGUUGGUGGAACUGCGAGUGUAGAGGUGAAAUUUGUAGAUAUUCGCAAGAACACCAGUGGCGAAGGCGGCCAACUGGUCCGGUACUGACGCUGAGGUGCGAAAGCGUGGGGAGCAAACAGG